Molecule: ribosomal RNA, 253 nt
Filed under: uncultured bacterium
Lineage: Bacteria
Description: partial 16S ribosomal RNA
Rfam family: Bacterial small subunit ribosomal RNA
Source: RNAcentral
UACGUAGGGAGCAAGCGUUGUCCGGAAUCAUUGGGCGUAAAGCGCGCGUAGGUGGCUUCGUAAGUCCGUUGUGAAAGUCAAGGGCUCAACCUUUGAAAGCCGAUGGAUACUGCGGAGCUAGAGUACGGAAGAGGCGAGUGGAAUUCCUGGUGUAGCGGUGAAAUGCGCAGAUAUCAGGAGGAACACCGGUGGCGAAGGCGGUUCUCUGGGCCGAUACUGACGCUGAGGAGCGAAAGCGUGGGGAGCGAACAGG